This 30-nucleotide non-coding RNA is filed under the name Mus musculus (house mouse). The record is from RNAcentral. Lineage: Eukaryota; Metazoa; Chordata; Mammalia; Rodentia; Muridae.
UCAAACGGCGGGGGUGCAUUAUAAAGGCCA